GAUGAACGCUGGCGGCGUGCCUAAUACAUGCAAGUCGAGCGGACCAAAGAGAGCUUGCUCUCUGAAGUUAGCGGCGGACGGGUGAGUAACACGUGGGUAACCUGCCUGUAAGACGGGGAUAACUUCGGGAAACCGAAGCUAAUACCGGAUGAUAAAGAGAAACGCCUGUUUCUUUUUUGAAAGUCGGCCUUGUGCUGACGCUUACAGAUGGGCCCGCGGCGCAUUAGCUAGUUGGUGAGGUAACGGCUCACCAAGGCGACGAUGCGUAGCCGCCCUGAGAGGGUGAUCGGCCAAACUGGGACUGAGACACGGCCCAGACUCCUACGGGAGGCAGCAGUAGGGAAUCUUCGGCAAUGGACGAAAGUCUGACCGAGCAACGCCGCGUGAGCGAUGAAGGCCUUCGGGUCGUAAAGCUCUGUUGUCAGAGAAGAACAAGUACCGGAGUAACUGCCGGUACCUUGACGGUACCUGACCAGAAAGCCACGGCUAACUACGUGCCAGCCGCCGCCGUAA
Molecule: ribosomal RNA, 513 nt
Filed under: uncultured bacterium
Lineage: Bacteria
Description: partial 16S ribosomal RNA
Rfam family: Bacterial small subunit ribosomal RNA
Source: RNAcentral